UGCGUAGGCGGAAUAUUAAGUCAGUGGUGAAAUCCUGCGGCUCAACCGUAGAACUGCCAUUGAUACUGAUAUUCUUGAAUGUAGUUGAGGUAGGCGGAAUGUGUAAUGUAGCGGUGAAAUGCUUAGAUAUUACACAGAACACCGAUUGCGAGGGCAGCUUACUAAACUAUGAUUGACGCUGAGGCACGAAAGCGUGGGGAGCGAACAGGAUUAGAUACCCUGGUAGUCC
This 229-nucleotide ribosomal RNA is filed under the name uncultured bacterium. RNAcentral describes it as "partial 16S ribosomal RNA". It matches the Rfam family "Bacterial small subunit ribosomal RNA", at positions 568 to 796 of the family's 1533-position model. The record is from RNAcentral.